AACGAACGCUGGCGGCAAGCCUAACACAUGCAAGUCGAGCGAGUAAGAGCCCGCAAGGGAGUUCUGCUAGCGGCAGACGGGUGCGUAACACGUGGGAAUCUCCCUAAUAGUACGGAAUAGCCUCGGGAAACUGGGAUUAAUACCGUAUACGCCCUUCGGGGGAAAGAUUUAUCGCUAUUAGGUGAGCCCGCGUAAGAUUAGCUAGUUGGUGAGGUAAUGGCUCACCAAGGCUACGAUCUUUAGCUGGUCUGAGAGGACGAUCAGCCACACUGGAACUGAGACACGGUCCAGACUCCUACGGGAGGCAGCAGUGGGGAAUAUUGGACAAUGGGGGCAACCCUGAUCCAGCUAUGCCGCGUGAGUGAUGAAGGCCUUCGGGUUGUAAAGCUCUUUAGCUAGGGAAAAUAAUGAUUGUACCUAGAGAAUAAGCCCCGGCAAACUCUGUGCCAGCCGCCGCCGUAA
Molecule: ribosomal RNA, 462 nt
Filed under: uncultured bacterium
Lineage: Bacteria
Description: partial 16S ribosomal RNA
Rfam family: Bacterial small subunit ribosomal RNA
Source: RNAcentral